Molecule: ribosomal RNA, 816 nt
Filed under: uncultured Prevotellaceae bacterium
Lineage: Bacteria; Pseudomonadati; Bacteroidota; Bacteroidia; Bacteroidales; Prevotellaceae
Description: bacterial SSU rRNA
Rfam family: Bacterial small subunit ribosomal RNA
Source: RNAcentral
UGAACGCUAGCUACAGGCUUAACACAUGCAAGUCGAGGGGAAACGGCAUUGAGUGCUUGCACUCUUUGGACGUCGACCGGCGCACGGGUGAGUAACGCGUAUCCAACCUUCCCAUUACUGUGGGAUAACCUGCCGAAAGGCAGACUAAUACCGCAUAGUCUUCGAUGACGGCAUCAGAUUUGAAGUAAAGAUUUAUCGGUAAUGGAUGGGGAUGCGUCUGAUUAGCUUGUUGGCGGGGUAACGGCCCACCAAGGCGACGAUCAGUAGGGGUUCUGAGAGGAAGGUCCCCCACAUUGGAACUGAGACACGGUCCAAACUCCUACGGGAGGCCGCAGUGAGGAAUAUUGGUUAAUGGACGGAAGUCUGAACCAGCCAAGUAGCGUGCAGGAUGACGGCCCUAUGGGUUGUAAACUGCUUUUGUAUGGGGAUAAAGUUAGGGACGUGUCCCUAUUUGCAGGUACCAUACGAAUAAGGACCGGCUAAUUCCGUGCCAGCAGCCGCGGUAAUACGGAAGGUCCAGGCGUUAUCCGGAUUUAUUGGGUUUAAAGGGAGCGUAGGCUGGAGAUUAAGUGUGUUGUGAAAUGUAGACGCUCAACGUCUGAAUUGCAGCGCAUACUGGUUUCCUUGAGUACGCACAACGUUGGCGGAAUUCGUCGUGUAGCGGUGAAAUGCUUAGAUAUGACGAAGAACUCCGAUUGCGAAGGCAGCUGACGGGAGCGCAACUGACGCUUAAGCUCGAAGGUGCGGGUAUCAAACAGGAUUAGAUACCCUGGUAGUCCGCACAGUAAACGAUGGAUGCCCGCUGUUGGUACCUGG